RNAcentral lists this ribosomal RNA (460 nucleotides) under uncultured bacterium. RNAcentral describes it as "partial 16S ribosomal RNA". It matches the Rfam family "Bacterial small subunit ribosomal RNA", at positions 338 to 795 of the family's 1533-position model. The record is from RNAcentral.
ACUACGGGGGGCAGCAGUGAGGAAUAUUGGUCAAUGGGCGGAAGCCUGAACCAGCCAAGUAGCGUGCAGGAUGACGGCCCUACGGGUUGUAAACUGCUUUUAUACGGGAAUAACGCGCCUUACGUGUAGGGCUUUGCAUGUACCGUAUGAAUAAGGACCGGCUAAUUCCGUGCCAGCAGCCGCGGUAAUACGGAAGGUCCGGGCGUUAUCCGGAUUUAUUGGGUUUAAAGGGAGCGUAGGCGGCAUGUCAAGCGUGCUGUGAAAUGUCCGGGCUCAACCCGGGCCUUGCAGCGCGAACUGGCGUGCUUGAGUCCGCGGAAAGCAGGCGGAAUUCGUCGUGUAGCGGUGAAAUGCUUAGAUAUGACGAAGAACCCCGAUUGCGAAGGCAGCUUGCUGCAGCGGAACUGACGCUGAUGCUCGAAAGCGCGGGUAUCGAACAGGAUUAGAUACCCGAGUAGUC